This 501-nucleotide ribosomal RNA is filed under the name Lacticaseibacillus paracasei. RNAcentral describes it as "bacterial SSU rRNA". It matches the Rfam family "Bacterial small subunit ribosomal RNA", at positions 63 to 537 of the family's 1533-position model. The record is from RNAcentral. Lineage: Bacteria; Bacillati; Bacillota; Bacilli; Lactobacillales; Lactobacillaceae.
CUCGUUGAUGAUCGGUGCUUGCACCGUAGAUUCAACAUGGAACGAGUGGCGGACGGGUGAGUAACACGUGGGUAACCUGCCCUUAAGUGGGGGAUAACAUUUGGAAACAGAUGCUAAUACCGCAUAGAUCCAAGAACCGCAUGGUUCUUGGCUGAAAGAUGGCGUAAGCUAUCGCUUUUGGAUGGACCCGCGGCGUAUUAGCUAGUUGGUGAGGUAAUGGCUCACCAAGGCGAUGAUACGUAGCCGAACUGAGAGGUUGAUCGGCCACAUUGGGACUGAGACACGGCCCAAACUCCUACGGGAGGCAGCAGUAGGGAAUCUUCCACAAUGGACGCAAGUCUGAUGGAGCAACGCCGCGUGAGUGAAGAAGGCUUUCGGGUCGUAAAACUCUGUUGUUGGAGAAGAAUGGUCGGCAGAGUAACUGUUGUCGGCGUGACGGUAUCCAACCAGAAAGCCACGGCUAACUACGUGCCAGCAGCCGCGGUAAUACGUAGGUGGCAA